RNAcentral lists this ribosomal RNA (447 nucleotides) under uncultured bacterium. RNAcentral describes it as "bacterial SSU rRNA". It matches the Rfam family "Bacterial small subunit ribosomal RNA", at positions 329 to 793 of the family's 1533-position model. The record is from RNAcentral.
CACCAGACUCCUACGGGAGGCAGCAGUGGGGAAUAUUGCACAAUGGGGGAAACCCUGAUGCAGCGACGCCGCGUGAGUGAAGAAGUAUUUCGGUAUGUAAAGCUCUAUCAGCAGGGAAGAAAAUGACGGUACCUGACUAAGAAGCCCCGGCUAACUACGUGCCAGCAGCCGCGGUAAUACGUAGGGGGCAAGCGUUAUCCGGAUUUACUGGGUGUAAAGGGGGCGCAGACGGCAGCGCAAGCCAGGAGUGAAAGCCCGGGGCCCAACCCCGGGACUGCUCUUGGAACUGCGCGGCUGGAGUGCAGGAGGGGCAGGCGGAAUUCCUGGUGUAGCGGUGAAAUGCGUAGAUAUCAGGAGGAACACCGGUGGCGAAGGCGGCCUGCUGGACUGCGACUGACGUUGAGGCCCGAAAGCGUGGGGAGCAAACAGGAUUAGAUACCCGGGUAC